This 592-nucleotide ribosomal RNA is filed under the name Laelius sp. RNAcentral's name for it is "partial large subunit ribosomal RNA". Lineage: Eukaryota; Metazoa; Arthropoda; Insecta; Hymenoptera; Bethylidae. The record is from RNAcentral.
GUCCGGGAUCUCGGUCUCGAGGCACGCGGUCGUCGCUCUGCGUCCGGAGGCGUCGGCGUGCACUUCUCCCCUAGUAGAACGUCGCGACYCGUUGGGUGCCGGUCUUACGGCCCGAGUGGAUGCCUGCCGCAUCGUUUUUACGCGCGUGCGGCAGACCCUCGGUCGCCAAAGAAUCGGCUGCCCGGCGGUACACUCACGGUAUCGGGCCGCAAACAAUUCGAACUGCGUCGGGCCCGCCUCGUCCGCCGGUCAGUUUCUCGGUGGUACGGACCUAGCGCCGUCCCCGGUUCUGGCUAGCUCGCGUCGAGCGGUGUCCUCCGACUGGCCGUAAACCACAUAGUCGAUACCGGUCGGCGACGCUACUGCUUUGGGUAAUCUCAGGACCCGUCUUGAAACACGGACCAAGGAGUCUAACAUGUGCGCGAGUCAUUGGGCGCAGCAUGCCURAAGGCGAAAUGAAAGUGAAGGUCGGCCCUCGCGCCGAAUGAGGGAGGAUGGGCCGCGCGAGCACGCGGCUUCGCACUCCCAGGGCGUCUCGUUCUCAUCCGAGAAGAGGCGCACCUAGAGCGUACACGUUGGGACCCGAAAGAUG